UACGUAGGUGGCAAGCGUUGUCCGGAAUUAUUGGGCGUAAAGCGCGCGUAGGCGGUUUCUUAAGUCUGAUGUGAAAGCCCACGGCUCAACCGUGGAGGGUCAUUGGAAACUGGGGAACUUGAGUGCAGAAGAGGAAAGUGGAAUUCCAAGUGUAGCGGUGAAAUGCGUAGAGAUUUGGAGGAACACCAGUGGCGAAGGCGACUUUCUGGUCUGUAACUGACACUGAGGCGCGAAAGCGUGGGGAGCGAACAGG
This 253-nucleotide ribosomal RNA is filed under the name uncultured bacterium. RNAcentral's name for it is "partial 16S ribosomal RNA". It matches the Rfam family "Bacterial small subunit ribosomal RNA", at positions 524 to 776 of the family's 1533-position model. The record is from RNAcentral.